This 932-nucleotide ribosomal RNA is filed under the name uncultured Russula. RNAcentral describes it as "eukaryotic LSU rRNA". It matches the Rfam family "Eukaryotic large subunit ribosomal RNA", at positions 20 to 922 of the family's 3401-position model. The record is from RNAcentral. Lineage: Eukaryota; Fungi; Basidiomycota; Agaricomycetes; Russulales; Russulaceae.
AUUACCCGCUGAACUUAAGCAUAUCAAUAAGCGGAGGAAAAGAAACUAACAAGGAUUCCCCUAGUAACUGCGAGUGAAGCGGGAAAAGCUCAAAUUUAAAAUCUGGUGGUCUUUUGGUCAUCCGAGUUGUAAUUUAGAGAAGCGUCUUCCGCGCUGGACCGUACACAAGUCUCCUGGAACGGAGCGUCAUAGAGGGUGAGAAUCCCGUCUUUGGUACGGACCCCCAGGGCUUCUGUGAUGCGCUCUCGAAGAGUCGAGUUGUUUGGGAAUGCAGCUCAAAAUGGGUGGUGAACUCCAUCUAAAGCUAAAUAUUGGCGAGAGACCGAUAGCGAACAAGUACCGUGAGGGAAAGAUGAAAAGCACUUUGGAAAGAGAGUGAAACAGUACGUGAAAUUGUUGAAAGGGAAAUGCUUAAAGUCAGUCGCGUCUGCCGAGACUCAGCCUUGCUCCGGCUUGGCGUAUUUCUCGGUCGACGGGUCAGCAUCAAUUUGGUCCCUCGGAUAAUGGCAAGGGAAAGGUGGCACCUUUGCGGGUGUGUUAUAGUCUUUUGUCGCAUGCGAGGGGUGAGAUUGAGGAACUCAGCACGCGUGCCCUUCUGGGUGUGUCGGGGCCUUGGCCCACGCCACGUGCUUAGGAUGCUGGCGUAAUGGCUUUAAACGACCCGUCUUGAAACACGGACCAAGGAGUCUAACAUGCCCGCGAGUGUUCGGGUGGAAAACCCGUGCGCGUAAUGAAAGUGAAAGUUGGGACCUUCGUCGUGAAGGGCACCGACGCCCGGACCAGACCUUCUGUGACGGAUCUGCGGUGGAGCGUGCAUGUUGGGACCCGAAAGAUGGUGAACUAUGCCUGAAUAGGGUGAAGCCAGAGGAAACUCUGGUGGAGGCUCGUAGCGAUUCUGACGUGCAAAUCGAUCGUCAAAUUUGGGUAUAGGG